This 299-nucleotide unclassified non-coding RNA is filed under the name Hevea brasiliensis (rubber tree). Lineage: Eukaryota; Viridiplantae; Streptophyta; Magnoliopsida; Malpighiales; Euphorbiaceae. The record is from RNAcentral.
AAGAGGACGAGGAUGCUGAGGACGGUACGUGGUGUUUGGGUUUUUUGUUUCUUUGGUGAUUGGAUAGGAUGCGGCGCAUUUGCUUGUGUAUUGUGAAAUUAGGGUUAAAAGAUGAAUACUGGUACUUCAAUUCACGAAUGAUUGACAUUUUGAUUUUUUGAGGUUUUGAGUGAAAUUGGUUUUCAUUGGAACUCUGAUUCGGAAGUCUAGUAGAAAUAGUAGUUGGCUUGUGAAUAUGGGCGAAAUUAGAGCUGAGUGUGUUUGAUUCACGUUUAGAAAAGAAAAAGACUUUGUUUUUA